This 231-nucleotide long non-coding RNA is filed under the name Dermacentor andersoni. Its description in RNAcentral is "uncharacterized LOC126526740". The record is from RNAcentral. Lineage: Eukaryota; Metazoa; Arthropoda; Arachnida; Ixodida; Ixodidae.
CCGAGAGCAUGAAGGGCACUGAUAUGGCUUCUCGCCUGUGUGGGUGCGCAGGUGGACUUUCAGGCCGCUCUUCUGUGAGAAGCUCCGAGUGCAUGAAGGGCAGUCAAAUGGCUUCUCGCCUGUGUGGGUGCGCAGGUGGGCUUUCAGGUGGGGCUUUCGUGAGAAGCUCCGAGAGCAUGAAGGGCAGCCAAAUGGCUUCUCGCCUGUGUGGGUGCGCAGGUGGGCUUUCAG